UUUGACCUCGGAUCAAGUAGGAUGCCC
This 27-nucleotide ribosomal RNA is filed under the name Nodulosphaeria scabiosae. RNAcentral's name for it is "partial 28S ribosomal RNA". Lineage: Eukaryota; Fungi; Ascomycota; Dothideomycetes; Pleosporales; Phaeosphaeriaceae. The record is from RNAcentral.